UACGGAGGAGGCAAGCGUUAUCCGGAAUUAUUGGGCGUAAAGCGUCCGCAGGCGGCUAUUCAAGUCUGCGGUCAAAGACUGGGGCUUAACCCUGGAAAGGCCGUGGAAACUGAAGAGCUAGAGUGCAGUAGGGGUAGAGGGAAUUCCCGGUGUAGCGGUGAAAUGCGUAGAGCUCGGGAAGAACAUCGGUGGCGAAAGCGCUCUGCUGGACUGCAACUGACACUCAGGGACGAAAGCUAGGGGAGCGAAUGGG
RNAcentral lists this ribosomal RNA (253 nucleotides) under uncultured bacterium. RNAcentral's name for it is "partial 16S ribosomal RNA". It matches the Rfam family "Bacterial small subunit ribosomal RNA", at positions 524 to 776 of the family's 1533-position model. The record is from RNAcentral.